AGUGACUAUACUUUCAGGGAUCAUUUCUAUAGUUCGUUACUAGAGAAGUUUCUCUGACUGUGUAGAGCCCACGAAACCACGAGGACGAGACAUAGCGUCCCCUCCUGAGCGUGAAGCCGGCUCUAGGUGCUGCUUCUGCCUCUUGCCAUUGGCAGCUGAUGAUCGUCUUCUCUCCUUCGGGGGGGUAAGAGGGAGGGAACGCAGUCUGAGUGG
Molecule: small nucleolar RNA, 213 nt
Filed under: Rattus norvegicus (Norway rat)
Lineage: Eukaryota; Metazoa; Chordata; Mammalia; Rodentia; Muridae
Description: U1 snRNA
Rfam family: Small nucleolar RNA U3
About the family: Small nucleolar RNAs (snoRNAs) are involved in the processing and modification of rRNA in the nucleolus. There are two main classes of snoRNAs: the box C/D class, and the box H/ACA class.
Source: RNAcentral